RNAcentral lists this ribosomal RNA (253 nucleotides) under uncultured bacterium. RNAcentral describes it as "partial 16S ribosomal RNA". It matches the Rfam family "Bacterial small subunit ribosomal RNA", at positions 524 to 776 of the family's 1533-position model. The record is from RNAcentral.
UACGUAGGGGGCAAGCGUUGUCCGGAUUCAUUGGGCGUAAAGAGCGUGUAGGCGGCUUUACAGGUCCGUUGUGAAAACUCGAGGCUCAACCUCGAGACGCCGGUGGAAACCGUAAAGCUAGAGUCCGGAAGAGGAGUGUGGAAUUCCUGGUGUAGCGGUGAAAUGCGCAGAUAUCAGGAGGAACACCAAUGGCGAAGGCAGCACUCUGGGACGUGACUGACGCUGAGACGCGAAAGCGUGGGGAGCAAACAGG